AUUGAACGCUGGCGGCAGGCCUAACACAUGCAAGUCGAACGGUAACAGGCAGAUGCUUGCUUCUUUGCUGAUGAGUGGCGGACGGGUGAGUAAUGUCUGGGAAACUGCCUGAUGGAGGGGGAUAACUACUGGAAACGGUAGCUAAUACCGCAUAACGUCGCAAGACCAAAGAGGGGGACCUUCGGGCCUCUUGCCAUCGGAUGUGCCCAGAUGGGAUUAGCUAGUAGGUGGGGUAACGGCUCACCUAGGCGACGAUCCCUAGCUGGUCUGAGAGGAUGACCAGCCACACUGGAACUGAGACACGGUCCAGACUCCUACGGGAGGCAGCAGUGGGGAAUAUUGCACAAUGGGCGCAAGCCUGAUGCAGCCAUGCCGCGUGUAUGAAGAAGGCCUUCGGGUUGUAAAGUACUUUCAGCGGGGAGGAAGGGAGUAAAGUUAAUACCUUUACUCAUUGACGUUACCCGCAGAAGAAGCACCGGCUAACUCCGUG
This 490-nucleotide ribosomal RNA is filed under the name uncultured bacterium. RNAcentral's name for it is "partial 16S ribosomal RNA". It matches the Rfam family "Bacterial small subunit ribosomal RNA", at positions 30 to 507 of the family's 1533-position model. The record is from RNAcentral.